RNAcentral lists this ribosomal RNA (1492 nucleotides) under Vibrio parahaemolyticus. RNAcentral describes it as "partial 23S ribosomal RNA". It matches the Rfam family "Bacterial large subunit ribosomal RNA", at positions 1 to 1551 of the family's 2925-position model. The record is from RNAcentral. Lineage: Bacteria; Pseudomonadati; Pseudomonadota; Gammaproteobacteria; Vibrionales; Vibrionaceae.
GGUUAAGUGACUAAGCGUACACGGUGGAUGCCUUGGCAGUCAGAGGCGAUGAAAGACGUAGUAACUUGCGAUAAGCCCAGAUUAGGUAGUAACAACCAUUUGAGUCUGGGAUUUCUGAAUGGGGAAACCCACUUACAUAAGUAAGUAUCAUUAACUGAAUACAUAGGUUAAUGAGGCGAACCGGGGGAACUGAAACAUCUAAGUACCCCGAGGAAAAGAAAUCAACCGAGAUUCCGAAAGUAGCGGCGAGCGAAAUUGGACUAGCCCUUAAGCUUUACACGCGUUAGACGAACGGUCUGGAAAGUCCGACGAUACAGGGUGAUAGUCCCGUAGUUGACGACGUGUGUUCAGUGAAAUCGAGUAGGGCGGGACACGUGAUAUCCUGUCUGAAUAUGGGGGGACCAUCCUCCAAGGCUAAAUACUACUGACUGACCGAUAGUGAACCAGUACCGUGAGGGAAAGGCGAAAAGAACCCCUGUGAGGGGAGUGAAAUAGAACCUGAAACCGUGUACGUACAAGCAGUAGGAGCAGGCUUUGUCCUGUGACUGCGUACCUUUUGUAUAAUGGGUCAGCGACUUAUAUUCAGUGGCAAGGUUAACCAUCUAGGGGAGCCGUAGGGAAACCGAGUCUUAACUGGGCGUUCAGUCUCUGGAUAUAGACCCGAAACCAGGUGAUCUAGCCAUGGGCAGGUUGAAGGUUGAGUAACAUCAACUGGAGGACCGAACCGACUAAUGUUGAAAAAUUAGCGGAUGACUUGUGGCUAGGGGUGAAAGGCCAAUCAAACCUGGAGAUAGCUGGUUCUCCCCGAAAGCUAUUUAGGUAGCGCCUCGGACGAAUACUACUGGGGGUAGAGCACUGUUAAGGCUAGGGGGUCAUCCCGACUUACCAACCCUUUGCAAACUCCGAAUACCAGUAAGUACUAUCCGGGAGACACACGGCGGGUGCUAACGUCCGUCGUGGAGAGGGAAACAACCCAGACCGCCAGCUAAGGUCCCAAAUUACUACUAAGUGGGAAACGAUGUGGGAAGGCUCAGACAGCCAGGAUGUUGGCUUAGAAGCAGCCAUCAUUUAAAGAAAGCGUAAUAGCUCACUGGUCGAGUCGGCCUGCGCGGAAGAUGUAACGGGGCUAAGUAGUAAACCGAAGCUGCGGCAAUAUACUUUUGUAUAUUGGGUAGGGGAGCGUUCUGUAAGCGGUUGAAGGUGUGUGGUAACGCAUGCUGGACGUAUCAGAAGUGCGAAUGCUGACAUGAGUAACGAUAAAGGGGGUGAAAAACCUCCUCGCCGGAAGACCAAGGGUUCCUGUCCAACGUUAAUCGGGGCAGGGUAAGUCGACCCCUAAGGCGAGGCCGAAAGGCGUAGUCGAUGGGAAACGGGUUAAUAUUCCCGUACUUCUUACAAUUGCGAUGGGGGGACGGAGAAGGCUAGGUGGGCCUGGCGACGGUUGUCCAGGUUCAAGUGCGUAGGCUUAAGAGUUAGGUAAAUCCGGCUCUUU